Molecule: transfer RNA, 68 nt
Filed under: Laternula truncata
Lineage: Eukaryota; Metazoa; Mollusca; Bivalvia; Laternulidae
Description: tRNA-Asp
Source: RNAcentral
UUAGGGGUGGUCUAAAAAUAAGAUAAAGGCUUGUCAGGCCUUAGAUGCUAGUUGUCUAGCUUCCUAAG